CCCUGGGAGGUAGCAGUCCUUUAGUUAAGCAAAAACCCCUUUAAAUCUAUCCAAAAUUUGUUGCACUGCUCCUGGGAUACUAAGGCUAGUACUUUUAGCAUGUCUCUACAUAAUUUGCAGCCAUAUUCCCUUCGAUGUUCCCUUCUUGAGGUCAUCAAUAUUAUCUUCCUCAGUCACAUUUGUUACUGGUCUUUGGAUUCCCUGCAACUCCACAGCUUUUUCUUUACAUUGAAACCUCAUGAUUAGGUCAGAAAAAUUCCAUAAAACUGAUCCCAAUCUUCUCAGCCAAUCGAUACCCAAAACUAGGUCACAACCCCCAAGUGCCAACACAAACAAAUUAGUCACAAAAGAAUAAUCUUGCAACUUUAAAGGAACUAGCUUACAUUAACCUAGGCAAGGAAGACUGGCGCCAUUAGCCACCUGUACUGUUAAGUGGCUAUCUUUCCUUGACAGGUUUGCCUUCCGUGCUACAUUUGGAUCUAUAAAACUAUGAGUACUCCCUGUAUCAAUUAAAACCACAACUUUUUGGUUAUUAAAUUCAGCAAGUAGUCUCAAAGUCUUAGGGGCUAUAGAUCUAGCAAUAGCGUGUAGGGUUAUCCCUAACAAUUCUCCCAUUUCCUCUCCAUUUGUCUCUAUCACAAUCAGGGCACCUUUUUCAUUCCCUUUUUCUUCAUUCUCCUCUUCCUCUCCUUCCAUUCUUUCCAAAAGGUAAAUUUUUGGUUUGUUACAUUUGUGGCGUGGGUGGUACUUCUCAUCACAAAACCAACAUAGUUAUUUUUCCUUUCUUUCUUGCAUUUGGUCAGAGAGACUCUUUUUAUGGGGAAGCUGGUUUUUCUGGAAUUAUUGAAGUUUUGAGGUUGUGGGUUGGGCUUAUUUUGAGGGGCUAGUAGUCUUAGUGGAGGGGUUGGUACAAGCAGUUUCGAUAGGUUAUUUGGAUUGGUGUUUUGGUAGGUUUGAAAUUUGUUUAAAUUUGAUCUCAUGCGCUUAAUCACCUCUUGUUCUUGUAAUAUGGCCAGACCGAAAGCUGCCGACAAAGUUGAUGGUUUAAACAUUGUGCCAAUGAUCCUCAAAUCAUCCCUUAAGCCACUUAAAGAUGUACUAAUUCGAAACUCUUCUGAUAACCCAUGUAUUUUAUUAGAUAACAUUUCAAAUUGGGUUUGAUAAUCUUCCAUAGUCCCACUUUGCCUUAACUUUGUAAAUUUCCCUACAAGAUCCUAAUAGACUGAGGGUCCAAAUCUUACCUCUAAAGCUGAAACAAAAGCAUCCCAAGUGUUGACUGGACUAGACUCCUUUAACCAACUAUACCAAGAUAAGGCCUUUCCUUCCAUAUGGAAAAAAGCUAUUUGCAACCUUUUAGUCAUCGGGUGUAUUAUAAUGCUCAAGAAAUUAUGUUGCUUUUUGGACCCACUCAUACAAAUCAGUACCAUCAAAUUUAGGAAAAUCUAAC
Molecule: long non-coding RNA, 1447 nt
Filed under: Olea europaea subsp. europaea
Lineage: Eukaryota; Viridiplantae; Streptophyta; Magnoliopsida; Lamiales; Oleaceae
Source: RNAcentral